AGAAUCAACGCUGGCGGCGUGCCUAACACAUGCAAGUCGCACGAGAAAGGGUAGCAAUACCUGAGUACAGUGGCGCACGGGUGAGUAACACGUGAAUAAUCUACCUCCGAGUGGGGAAUAACUGAGAGAAAUCUUAGCUAAUACCGCAUAACACUUACGAGUCAAAGCAGCAAUGCGCUUGGAGAGGAGUUCGCGGCAGAUUAGUUAGUUGGCGGGGUAAUGGCCCACCAAGACGAUGAUCUGUAUCCGGCCUGAGAGGGCGCACGGACACACUGGAACUGAAACACGGUCCAGACUCCUACGGGAGGCAGCAGUGGGGAAUUUUUGCGCAAUGGGGGAAACCCUGACGCAGCAACGCCGCGUGGAGGAUGAAAUCCCUUGGGAUGUAAACUCUUUCGAUAGGGAAGAUAAUGACGGUACCUAUAGAAGAAGCCCCGGCUAACUUCGCGCCAGCAGCCGC
Molecule: ribosomal RNA, 460 nt
Filed under: uncultured bacterium
Lineage: Bacteria
Description: SSU rRNA
Rfam family: Bacterial small subunit ribosomal RNA
Source: RNAcentral